AGCAGCCGCGGUAAUUCCAGCUCCAAUAGCGUAUAUUAAAGUUGUUGCAGUUAAAAAGCUCGUAGUUGAAUUUCGGGAUCAGUUGAUCGGUCGUGCCUCGGUACGUACUGGUCAAAUUGAUUCCUACCUUCUGACGAACCACGAUGUCAUUAAUUUGAUGUCGCGGGAAAUCAGGACUGUUACUUUGAAAAAAAGUUAGAGUGUUUAAAGCAGGCUCGCGCUUGAAUACAUUAGCAUGGAAUAAUGAAAUAGGACGUUUGAUUCUAUUUUGUUGGUUUCUAGGAUCGACGUAAUGAUUAAUAGGGAUAGUUGGGGGCAUUAGUAUUCAAUUGUCAGAGGUGAAAUUCUUGGAUUUAUUGAAGACUAACUACUGCGAAAGCAUUUGCCAAGGAUGUUUUCAAUUAAGUCAAGAACGAAAUGUUAGGGGAUCGAAGAACGAUCAGAUACCGUCGUAGUCUUAACCAUAAACUACGCCGACUAGGGAUCGGAUGAUGUUAAUUUUUUCAAUGACUCAUUCGGC
This 520-nucleotide unclassified non-coding RNA is filed under the name uncultured Glomus. RNAcentral's name for it is "SSU rRNA". It matches the Rfam family "Eukaryotic small subunit ribosomal RNA", at positions 569 to 1084 of the family's 1831-position model. Lineage: Eukaryota; Fungi; Glomeromycota; Glomeromycetes; Glomerales; Glomeraceae. The record is from RNAcentral.